UCUUCAUUUCACACACUCUCUCACCGGUCAGAGAGGCGAGAGAGUGUGUGAAAAGAAGAGA
Molecule: non-coding RNA, 61 nt
Organism: Pristionchus pacificus
Lineage: Eukaryota; Metazoa; Nematoda; Chromadorea; Rhabditida; Neodiplogasteridae
Source: Rfam